UUCCUUCCUUAGUUUCUUACUCAAUGCUGCCGAUACAGUCCAGUAACGUUACAUGUCCCGUUGUCCUAUCUGUGAGCCAGAUCUACAUGUCAAGCGUAUCGCUCCAAGUAUUUGCGAAGUAAGCCAGGCAGACCACACAAGGCAACGGACAAGGUAGAAAAGAACAAGAAGACCAAGAACCCCGGUAAAUCCAAUCCUUACCAGGUCAUUCCGUUGAGGACCGGGAAUACAAGGCCAGGCUUCUGAGCAAACCUUGGCAACGGACGGUCAACAGCAUAUUGACUAUUGAUACCACUUCAAGGGAAUUAACGUCAGCCGCGUGUAGAAUGGAGAGUGCUGUAUUCAACGUGUGGCCAGGCCAUUUACUGCCCUUAUUGUCCUUGCGGGACAUCAUCCAGCUGUGUGGAACCUCCAAGCAUUUGAAGGCGCUGCUAAUCGAUGAAAACAUGUUUAGCAUUCUAUGUCGGCAACGCUAUCAACUCAGGCCUCAUUUGGACGUGUCAUAUAUAGACGCUGCCAUAAACCUGGAAAUUGUCACCGGUGUGGCCAGCGUGUAUCAUAGCCAUUGCAUCGAUACUAUGCGUUGCAUUUACGGCAGCCAUGUGGAUGUUGCUUUGGUCGGCAGAGCAAAGAAGCAGUCGAUUAUCACACUGUCGUGCCUAGAGUUGAUGCUGCCAGCACAGCUGAGUGAUACCACUAGCUGGGACAGCGCUGGCCUGUUCAAGUCACUC
This is a long non-coding RNA of Sycon ciliatum, 731 nucleotides long. RefSeq lists it as uncharacterized. The transcript has 4 exons. Lineage: Eukaryota; Metazoa; Porifera; Calcarea; Leucosolenida; Sycettidae. The record is from RefSeq and is a predicted model, not a curated record.